Molecule: long non-coding RNA, 775 nt
Filed under: Homo sapiens (human)
Lineage: Eukaryota; Metazoa; Chordata; Mammalia; Primates; Hominidae
Description: HSALNT0355600
Source: RNAcentral
AUUGCAGGACUGAUCUGAAGGCCAGAGCCAAGACUCAGGGCAGGGCUGUUGGGAGGCCCCUGACAGGCCUGGGAAGGCCUUGCCUGGUCACAGUGUUUUGUGGGCCUGAGGAUUCAGGACACGUGGUACUUGCUUGACCAUAUAGUUUAUUUUAAUAAUGGAAUUAUAGAGAAUUUCUGUUUUCCCUCUGGGAGGCUGGAGUCUGAGCUGCUGUGGUCUGUCACACAGACACUGCCUCCCUAAGUGACUGACCCUCAAUAAAAACCUUGGACGCCGAAGCUCAGGUGAACUUUCCCAGCUGAACCUUGGACCCGGAGGCUCAGUUCACCGCUCAUGGACACCUAGGCUGAUUCCAUAUCUUUGCUGUUGUGAAUGAACACGGGACUGCAUGUUGCCUUUGUGCUGUCGAGGAUGCCCUGAUGUCUGUUCUCACAUCACAUUGCGCUCCAAGUACCCCGGCUGCAACCAGAGCUCAGCAAACCGGGACCAGAGGGCACAUCCACCCUGCCUGCCCAUGUCAACAGAGUUGUGUGGGAGCCAGCCGGCCCCCAGGAAGACCCCAGAUCUUCCUGCCCCUGACCACAGCUCUGUCCCUGGAAGCAUAUGCUGCAGACACUUGCUCUGCUGCAGAUUUUCUGCACAACCCCUCCUCAUGGGGGAAGGUUUGGUACCUGAAUGAGGCCUCUUUUGACCUCUAUUCCUAUCACUAUUUUUGGUGACCUCAAUAUUUAUGAAGGUAAUAACUUGGUCUUUAAUCCAGACAAUUUUCACCUCC